AUUGAACGCUGGCGGAAUGCUUUACACAUGCAAGUCGAACGGCAGCACGGGGGCAACCCUGGUGGCGAGUGGCGAACGGGUGAGUAAUACAUCGGAACGUGCCCGGUCGUGGGGGAUAACGUAGCGAAAGUUACGCUAAUACCGCAUACGAUCUGAGGAUGAAAGCGGGGGACCUUCGGUCCUCGCGCGAUCGGAGCGGCCGAUGUCAGAUUAGGUAGUUGGUGGGGUAAAGGCCUACCAAGCCGACGAUCUGUAGCUGGUCUGAGAGGACGACCAGCCACACUGGGACUGAGACACGGCCCAGACUCCUACGGGAGGCAGCAGUGGGGAAUUUUGGACAAUGGGCGAAAGCCUGAUCCAGCCAUUCCGCGUGCAGGACGAAGGCCUUCGGGUUGUAAACUGCUUUUGUAUGGAACGAAAAGGCUCUGGCUAAUACCUGGGGCUCAUGACGGUACCGAAAGAAUAAGCACCGGCUAACUACGUG
RNAcentral lists this ribosomal RNA (484 nucleotides) under uncultured bacterium. RNAcentral's name for it is "partial 16S ribosomal RNA". It matches the Rfam family "Bacterial small subunit ribosomal RNA", at positions 30 to 507 of the family's 1533-position model. The record is from RNAcentral.